This is a long non-coding RNA of Ictalurus furcatus (blue catfish), 150 nucleotides long. RefSeq lists it as uncharacterized. The record is from RefSeq and is a predicted model, not a curated record. Lineage: Eukaryota; Metazoa; Chordata; Actinopteri; Siluriformes; Ictaluridae. The transcript has 3 exons.
ACUCUCUCCCCUGUCAAUCAGGACAACAAUAGCCAAUCACGAACACUAACUGACUGAAUAUCUUAUGGAAGAACAGUGUUCAUGUCUCCAGUACAGUGCCAGAGACAUGUAGAAUCUAUGACAAAGUGCAUCAGAGCUGGGUCAUGGCAG